Non-coding RNA from Dermacentor albipictus, 2225 nucleotides. The record is from RefSeq and is a predicted model, not a curated record. Lineage: Eukaryota; Metazoa; Arthropoda; Arachnida; Ixodida; Ixodidae.
AUUGCUCCAUUAAUAGCCGACUUCAUUCUGCCUAUUUUAUUGUUCUAAGUUCCAAUCGAUCCUCUGCCUAUACUUUUCCUGCGGACGCGUAAACUGAAGCGUGGCUUUUAGAAACUUGUAUAUGAUUGAAUUUGGGUCUCUGUCCUCCAUCAGACAUACGUUAGUACGGUGGACUGUUUGUAUCAGUUUUGCAAAUUGAGAACAUGUUUGAAUAUAGCCUUGGUAUGUGCAUGUGAAACAAUUUCGUACUCCCGAGGCAUUCCUUUAUCAUUAUCUUUCAAAGGUUGUGUUCGUGUCGAUAUUGUUUGUUAUUGAUGCGAAUAGGGUUGUUAUCCGAAACUACCUUUGUCCGGCUAACUCAAAAGACUGCUGGACAUAUUUCUAGCAACGUUUUCUUUCCACUCAUCGCGUUAUCCAGAGCUCUACCCUCUAUAAUUUUCUUCAAGAAACACAUUGUGCCCAUCGGAAGUCUUGAAAUACUGUCAAUUGAAAAUCUGCUCGCUAACGCCAAACAUUUACCCCAAUUUUAAUUGUCAAAUAUGCGUAGCCUUCCUGACGUGUGCCUAGUUUGGAAAGUUAAUACAAUAAUCAGACUGUCCUUCAGUGGUCGAAGAUGCGGCUCUGAAAAAGGUAGUGUUGGUUCGCCGUAACGAGGAACAUUGACUAGGUGAUAUGUUAGCCAUUGAUUGCCAGUCAGGGUUACUUUCUCUAAUUACACAUCGUGUUGCUUUAAAGCAACCAAAUAUGAAUUUUAGGAGAAAACUUAGCGUCAGUAAUAUCGGCAGCCAAGAAGAGUUCUAUUUUUCACCCGUAAAUGCGAAUACUAAAAGUUACAUAAACCGACUUCCAACGUUGAAAGUUUCGUUGAUUGAUGCUUCGGAGCGGCUCGCUAAUGAGAGAGGCACAUACACUCCGAUAUGCAUUACUGUUGAGUCACUUCGUGUAAAACAUUUCUCAACAGGGCGUAGGCGUUAUGCACAACGCGGCAGCAGGCUGGUGUACCUUGAAAGCGAUCUGCGAUGCCGAAAAGCGUGCCGAGUGCCGAUAGCUUACCGCGUUGUGUUCUCGCGGCUUGUUUAGUGUUGAAGAGGCACGCGCGGGCCCAUAUCGUGUGUGUGUGUGUGUGUGUACGCGUGAGUGUGUGUGUGUGUGUGUCUGUGUGUGUGUGUGUGUGUGUAUGUCAAAGAAGCUUUGCUUCAUUUAGAUUACCACGGUACGUUUGAUCUGCGCGCUUUAAUUUUUCUUCUAUUGUCUACCUUAAUGUUGCACUUGUGCAUUUUCUUCGAUGCUCGUGUUCCGGCCCAUCCCCGUUGAGGGUAAAUGCAAUAAUAACAACAAUGGGUAUAAGCCAUAAAAGAGGAUCAUCAUCAUCAUAAUAAUUUGAUGUCUACAAGAAGGGGUCGGCAGCUAAUAGCAUUCGGUAGACUCAAGAGUACCAGCUACUGAAACCUCGAAGCAAGCUCUUUCGGAAACCACUUGAACGUUCCUCCCGCUGCACAUUCAGCAUCGAGUAUGUCAUGUUUCAGGUGAUGAACGUGCAUGAUAAAGAAUAUGUUAAUUUACCUAUCUCUGCAGAACUGAAAAAAAAUAGAGCCUUGCCUUGUAGUAUGCCAGUCAAUCGCAUAAUUCAACCUUAUUUCCUUAUUUCCGGUAUGGCGCUGCAUAUAAGGAGGUGCUUCAGCUCCAUUUCGGGAUCAGGCGCUACGCUUUGAAGACCUAAUUUUUCUUUUCUUUCUCAUGGUUUUAGAUUGUGAACAUGGCUGCGAAGCUCGUCAUGGCAAUUAUCUGCACAUUAGUUGGAGCCUACGCGGGCGUGCGAACGCCGAAGCAGCUGCUCAACUUGGCCGGAUUCACGGAAACCGGGGUCAGGGCAGCGUCGUUAGCGGGCAACGUACAGUCCCGUUACCGCGUCAUGUGUAAAAAGAAGAGCCUCUUCGCUCUACUUCAAGGCUGGGCCAUGAGCGGAGUCCCGCUCUCCGUGCAGUUCCUGUCCAGCACUGUUGGAGUGCACAUCGGCUACGCAUUGUUCGAAUUCAUUGCACUAAUCUUAGGCAAAGUCUUCUGAUCGCGGACGACUGGGAUCAUCUGCCUACCGACGCUGCGCACCACUCCAAUCCUAUCCACUUCAAGUCAUUCAUCCAAGACCAGCCACAAAUGUAAUACUCAUCCCUCAUGUAAAACCCCGCAAUAGGGGCAUUUGAGGACGAAAUAAAUAAAAUAAAUAA